This 334-nucleotide ribosomal RNA is filed under the name Bifidobacterium sp. RNAcentral's name for it is "SSU rRNA". It matches the Rfam family "Bacterial small subunit ribosomal RNA", at positions 1166 to 1498 of the family's 1533-position model. The record is from RNAcentral. Lineage: Bacteria; Bacillati; Actinomycetota; Actinomycetes; Bifidobacteriales; Bifidobacteriaceae.
GAGGAAGGUGGGGAUGACGUCAGAUCAUCAUGCCCCUUACGUCCAGGGCUUCACGCAUGCUACAAUGGCCGGUACAACGGGAUGCGACCUCGUGAGGGGGAGCGGAUCCCUUAAAACCGGUCUCAGUUCGGAUUGGAGUCUGCAACCCGACUCCAUGAAGGCGGAGUCGCUAGUAAUCGCGGAUCAGCAACGCCGCGGUGAAUGCGUUCCCGGGCCUUGUACACACCGCCCGUCAAGUCAUGAAAGUGGGUAGCACCCGAAGCCGGUGGCCCAACCUUUUGGGGGGANCCGUCUAAGGUGAGACUCGUGAUUGGGACUAAGUCGUAACAAGGUA